GCAGGUGACUGUUUGGGGGAACUUGGGGACAGAGCCCCCAUUGUGCCCGCCCCAGAGCCGCCUCAAUGGAGCUCUCUGGCACAAAGGGGCUUUGACAAUGGGCAGGACAUUAGUAUGCAGAGCCAGCCCCUCAGCCCUCUCUCUCCCUGUCCCACAGCCCAGGGGCAGGAGAUACGGGACUGCUAGCCACGCCAGUGGAGGCAGGGGGUGGGGCAAGGCUGAGACUGAAGAGAUCUUAGACCACUGGGGGCUCUCCGGGGGGCACUGCCCAGGAGACAGGGCAGGGAAGCUAGACCAGGGUCCCCAAGCCUGACACUCUCCAGAAAGGACUUUCCAAGUGGAAAAAGCCACGGGGACUGGUCGGGAUGGGGGAGGAGGGGCUGUGGGAAGCCAGACCCCUUGGUUUCAGGCAGGCUCUGGAAAGAAGUGGUGGGCAGUCUGAGUCCACCCACUUUUUGCCUCAGUUUUACCCUUUUAUUCAAGGGAAUUGUGUGGGCAGGAGAAAAGAAACGGAGCAACAGGCAGCAAGAUCUCAAACCGAAGCCUGUGGCGUCUCAGAGCUGUCUUAGGGGCUGCGGGUGGGAUCUGAACCUCAGGAAUGCAGAAAGGGUGUGUACUCAGGACUCUCUGGUAACUGGGAUUCUGAUGAAGAUGGCUCCUGCAUCCCAGCUCAGGAGAAACUGCCUGAUGGGCCCAAAGGCCAGGACUAGCUCUUCCCCAGCGUGUAGCUGUCUGUCUCCUCAUCUGCCUCAUCCCCUGCUUCAUGCUGUAGUGAGAGGCUUCUCUUCUCCUGCCCAGAGGACCCCCCACCCCCACUAACAACCUCGGCACCACCAGCUGCCUUUCCCAAGUUGCUGUGAUGUUACUAUGUCCUCCCUGCUACCUGCCCUCAAGGCUUCCUGCUGUACCACCAUGGGCCCUGGAUGACUCACCUGGAUUGCUGGGGGAAAGUGUUCAGAGGAGUUUUCCAGAAUCAUACAUGACAUACAAUAUUGCCACAUGAUGAAUACAGACAUAGUUAUGAGAAAUCAAUUGUCUUCUGUUAGCCAGACGUUAAAAAGAUCUGUGAAAACGUGAGACAUUUUGCCACUCUUCUUACUAAACUUUUGUUUGUUUCUUAAAAAUAGCUAUG
Long non-coding RNA from Hipposideros armiger (great roundleaf bat), 1132 nucleotides. RefSeq lists it as uncharacterized. NCBI's taxonomy places the organism in Eukaryota, Metazoa, Chordata, Mammalia, Chiroptera, Hipposideridae. The record is from RefSeq and is a predicted model, not a curated record. The transcript is spliced from 3 exons.